Molecule: long non-coding RNA, 228 nt
Organism: Haliotis rubra (blacklip abalone)
Lineage: Eukaryota; Metazoa; Mollusca; Gastropoda; Lepetellida; Haliotidae
Exons: 3
Source: RefSeq, a predicted model, not a curated record
GUUUGGGUCUCGUCCUCGCUUACAACGUUUCUGACAUCUACGACAGAAGAACUUCCGUUAUCCAGCUCAUAUGUGAUGUGAAUGAAGAAGGCUCGUUCAAAGUUGUCGAAGACGAACCAAGCCAACAAUACAACUUCAUCCUAAGAAGUAAGCACUGCUGUCCCAAGACGCAAUCUAAACGGUCUACCUGAACUAUUCUCGUGGGAAUAAACUGCAGUCUUCACGCUU